RNAcentral lists this long non-coding RNA (668 nucleotides) under Equus asinus (donkey). RNAcentral's name for it is "lncRNA (ENSEASG00005023606.1)". The record is from RNAcentral. Lineage: Eukaryota; Metazoa; Chordata; Mammalia; Perissodactyla; Equidae.
GUCAGAUCAAGACAUACCUUGUGGCCUAGAAAUGCUACUUCUAGAAAAUUACUUACAGAAAAAACCCAAAGGACCAGGCACAGACAAAACAGCUGCAGUGACUCUGUGAAGUUAUAUAUAGCCUCUGCCAAGCUGGAAUCUGAAGCUGUAGGUUCUUUUUCAUUAGAUGGAUCCCUGUGGAAUGACGGUUGUCAUUACAGGCAGGAAUUGUAAAUCACUCGUGGAGAUUCUCUCAGCACAUCUGGAAUCACACAACAGCUGUCUGAACUGCUCAUGGAUAAUGCUAAUCCAGAACCACAGGUGCUGCAAUGGAGGGCGUCAUGGGUGUGCCUUUGAGACCAACUAUCUGGUUAUUCGUCCUUCUCUCCUUGGUAGCCAGUUCUCUGCACACAGCUGCAUCACUGACGAAGGCUGGCAUGGCUCUGAUUUGCUUCAGGAUUUCUGACCUUUCUUAGGACAGCGGCCACUAGCCACAUGUGGCUGCUGCGCACUUGAACUCCAGCCGGUUCCCACUGAGGGCUGCUGCAAGUGUGAAACACACGGUGGAUUUUGAAGACUUCGAAUGAAAAAAAGAAUAUAAAAUAUAUUGUUAAUAACUUUUUAUAUUGCUACAGGUUGAAAUAACAUGUUGUAUAUGGAGGUUAAAUAAAAUGUAUUAUUAAGAUUAA